GGAAAGAGUGGAAGAGGAGAGGAGGAGGAAGAGGAGAGGAGGCGGAAGAGGAGAGGAGGAGGACAAUGGCGCGGAGUUGGAAGAAGAGGAUGAAGAAGAGGAAAGAGUGAAGAGGAUGGAGAGGAUAUAGUCAGAGAGAGAGAAAAAGAAAGAAAGAAAGAAAGAGAGAGAGAGGAAAGAGUGAAUACCAAAGACAAGAGUAGCACAGAGUAGAGAGGAGGAUGACAAAAUCAUGAAAAGAUGAUCAUAGAGAGAGAGUUGUCUAAAGAGGAUAGAGAGAGAGAGAGAGAGAGAGAGGUGUCUGAAGAGGAGAAAGAGAGAGAGGAGAGAGAGGUGUCUAAAGAGGAGAGAGAGGUGUCUGAAGAGGAGAGAGAGGUAAAGGGAGGAGAGAGAGGAGAGAGGUGUCUGAAGAGGAGAGAGAGAGGAGAGAGGUGUCUGAAGAGGAGAGAGAGGUGUCUGAAGAGGAGAGAGGUGUCUAAAGAGGAGAAAGGGAGGAGAGAGGUGUCUGAAGAGGAGAGAGAGGAGAGAGAGUGGUGUCUGAAUAGGAGAGAGAGGUGUCUGAAGAGGGGGGAGAGAGAGGUGUCUAGAGAGGAGAGAAAAGAGAGGAGAGAGAGAGGGGAGGGUGGAGAGAUAGAGAGAGAGGAGAGAGGAGAGAGAGAGGGAGAGAGAGGAGAGAGUGAGAGGUGUCUAAAGAGGAGAGAGAGG
Long non-coding RNA from Oncorhynchus tshawytscha (Chinook salmon), 705 nucleotides. Lineage: Eukaryota; Metazoa; Chordata; Actinopteri; Salmoniformes; Salmonidae. The record is from Ensembl.